AACGGUCUAUACCUGCGGUACCUGCGGAGGGAUCAUUAUAGAGUGGUAAACCUCCCGUAAAAGGGGGGGACCUCCUGUCCUUUGUAGGCUCUUUUUUAAAAGGGCUUUUUUUAAUUUUCUGCUUCGGUGGGGUUAUCCCACCGGAACAACCUCAAAACUCUCAUCACAAAAUCGUUCUGUCUGAGAACCUUUUAUAAUAAAAAAAAACUUUCAACAACGGAUCUCUAGAUCGGAAGAGCA
This 240-nucleotide unclassified non-coding RNA is filed under the name soil metagenome. Its description in RNAcentral is "partial contains 5.8S ribosomal RNA, internal transcribed spacer 2, and large subunit ribosomal RNA". The record is from RNAcentral.